AGAGUUUGAUCCUGGCUCAGGAUGAACGCUGGCGGCGUGCUUAACACAUGCAAGUCGAACGAAGCACUGAAAGCAGAUUACUUCGGUAGGAAGCUAUCUUUGACUGAGUGGCGGACGGGUGAGUAACGCGUGGGUAACCUGCCUCAUACAGGGGGAUAACAGUUAGAAAUGACUGCUAAUACCGCAUAAGCGCACGGGACUGCAUGGUCCAGUGUGAAAAACUCCGGUGGUAUGAGAUGGACCCGCGUCUGAUUAGCUAGUUGGUGGGGUAAGGGCUCACCAAGGCGACGAUCAGUAGCCGGCCUGAGAGGGUGACCGGCCACAUUGGGACUGAGACACGGCCCAAACUCCUACGGGAGGCAGCAGUGGGGAAUAUUGCACAAUGGGGGAAACCCUGAUGCAGCGACGCCGCGUGAAGGAAGAAGUAUUUCGGUAUGUAAACUUCUAUCAGCAGGGAAGAAAAUGACGGUACCUGACUAAGAAGCCCCGGCUAACUACGUG
RNAcentral lists this ribosomal RNA (501 nucleotides) under uncultured Eubacteriales bacterium. RNAcentral's name for it is "bacterial SSU rRNA". It matches the Rfam family "Bacterial small subunit ribosomal RNA", at positions 8 to 507 of the family's 1533-position model. The record is from RNAcentral. Lineage: Bacteria; Bacillati; Bacillota; Clostridia; Eubacteriales.